RNAcentral lists this ribosomal RNA (517 nucleotides) under uncultured bacterium. RNAcentral's name for it is "bacterial SSU rRNA". It matches the Rfam family "Bacterial small subunit ribosomal RNA", at positions 9 to 526 of the family's 1533-position model. The record is from RNAcentral.
GAGUUUGAUCCUGGCUCAGGAUGAACGCUGGCGGCGUGCUUAACACAUGCAAGUCGAACGAAGCACCUUGAUUUGAUUCUUCGGAUGAAGAUCCUGGUGACUGAGUGGCGGACGGGUGAGUAACGCGUGGGUAACCUGCCUCAUACAGGGGGAUAACAGUUAGAAAUGACUGCUAAUACCGCAUAAGACCACAGCACCGCAUGGUGCAGGGGUAAAAACUCCGGUGGUAUGAGAUGGACCCGCGUCUGAUUAGGUAGUUGGUGGGGUAACGGCCUACCAAGCCGACGAUCAGUAGCCGACCUGAGAGGGUGACCGGCCACAUUGGGACUGAGACACGGCCCAAACUCCUACGGGAGGCAGCAGUGGGGAAUAUUGCACAAUGGGGGAAACCCUGAUGCAGCGACGCCGCGUGGAGGAAGAAGGUUUUCGGAUUGUAAACUCCUGUCGUUAGGGACGAUAAUGACGGUACCUAACAAGAAAGCACCGGCUAACUACGUGCCAGCAGCCGCGGUAAUUC